RNAcentral lists this non-coding RNA (48 nucleotides) under Trichobilharzia regenti. The record is from RNAcentral. Lineage: Eukaryota; Metazoa; Platyhelminthes; Trematoda; Strigeidida; Schistosomatidae.
AUCCGGAUGACGAGUCCAAAAUAGGAGGAAAUGCGCAUCAUCCUGGAU